GAUGAACGCUGGCGGCGUGCCUAAUACAUGCAAGUCGAGCGAACAGACGAGGAGCUUGCUCCUCUGACGUUAGCGGCGGACGGGUGAGUAACACGUGGAUAACCUACCUAUAAGACUGGGAUAACUUCGGGAAACCGGAGCUAAUACCGGAUAAUAUAUUGAACCGCAUGGUUCAAUAGUGAAAGACGGUUUUGCUGUCACUUAUAGAUGGAUCCGCGCCGCAUUAGCUAGUUGGUAAGGUAACGGCUUACCAAGGCAACGAUGCGUAGCCGACCUGAGAGGGGGAUCGGCCACACUGGAACUGAGACACGGUCCAGACUCCUACGGGAGGCAGCAGUAGGGAAUCUUCCGCAAUGGGCGAAAGCCUGACGGAGCAACGCCGCGUGAGUGAUGAAGGUCUUCGGAUCGUAGAACUCUGUUAUUAGGGAAGAACAAAUGUGUAAGUAACUAUGCACGUCUUGACGGUACCUAAUCAGAAAGCCACGGCUAACUACGUG
RNAcentral lists this ribosomal RNA (497 nucleotides) under uncultured bacterium. Its description in RNAcentral is "partial 16S ribosomal RNA". It matches the Rfam family "Bacterial small subunit ribosomal RNA", at positions 28 to 507 of the family's 1533-position model. The record is from RNAcentral.